RNAcentral lists this long non-coding RNA (247 nucleotides) under Lathyrus oleraceus (garden pea). RNAcentral describes it as "Pisum sativum (pea) long non-coding RNA (PSAT_LNC037170)". The record is from RNAcentral. Lineage: Eukaryota; Viridiplantae; Streptophyta; Magnoliopsida; Fabales; Fabaceae.
AUGCCCAUGCAGUUUUGAGGGAAAUCCACAAAUUAACCAAAAACAUGUCAUUUUGAGCUAAUUUUGAUUACCACUCAAAUUAACCAAACUUAGCAGCUUAAACACAGUACAUAUACAACAUUUUUCUGCUGAAAAGCCCUAGUAGCCACACCUUGCAAACAGAUCAAAAUUUCACUCUCUCUCAAAUUCUCAUUUUGGCUCACUUGAACUUUUUCUGAAAAAACCUCAAAGAGCACGAACCUUGGUG